AGAGUUUGAUCCUGGCUCAGGAUGAACGCUAGCUACAGGCUUAACACAUGCAAGUCGAGGGGAAACGACAUCGAAAACUUGCCUUUGAUGGGCGUCGACCGGCGCACGGGUGAGUAACGCGUAUCCAACCUGCCCACCACUUGGGGAUAACCUUGCGAAAGUAAGACUAAUACCCAAUGAUAUCUCUAGAAGACAUCUGAAAGAGAUUAAAGAUUUAUCGGUGAUGGAUGGGGAUGCGUCUGAUUAGCUUGUUGGCGGGGUAACGGCCACCAAGGCUACGAUCAGUAGGGGUUCUGAGAGGAAGGUCCCCCACAUUGGAACUGAGACACGGUCCAAACUCCUACGGAGGCA
This 351-nucleotide ribosomal RNA is filed under the name uncultured bacterium. RNAcentral describes it as "bacterial SSU rRNA". It matches the Rfam family "Bacterial small subunit ribosomal RNA", at positions 8 to 350 of the family's 1533-position model. The record is from RNAcentral.